GACGAACGCUGGCGGCGUGCCUAAUACAUGCAAGUUGAGCGCUGAAGGUUGGUACUUGUACCAACUGGAUGAGCAGCGAACGGGUGAGUAACGCGUGGGGAAUCUGCCUUUGAGCGGGGGACAACAUUUGGAAACGAAUGCUAAUACCGCAUAAAAACUUUAAACACAAGUUUUAAGUUUGAAAGAUGCAAUUGCAUCACUCAAAGAUGAUCCCGCGUUGUAUUAGCUAGUUGGUGAGGUAAAGGCUCACCAAGGCGAUGAUACAUAGCCGACCUGAGAGGGUGAUCGGCCACAUUGGGACUGAGACAAGGCCCAAACUCCUACGGGAGGCAGCAGUAGGGAAUCUUCGGCAAUGGACGAAAGUCUGACCGAGCAACGCCGCGUGAGGGAAGAAGGGUUUCGGAUCGUAAAACUCUGUUGGUAGAGAAGAACGUUGGUGAGAGUGGAAAGCUCAUCAAGUGACGGUAACUACCCAGAAAGGGACGGCUAACUACGUG
RNAcentral lists this ribosomal RNA (497 nucleotides) under uncultured bacterium. RNAcentral's name for it is "partial 16S ribosomal RNA". It matches the Rfam family "Bacterial small subunit ribosomal RNA", at positions 28 to 507 of the family's 1533-position model. The record is from RNAcentral.